This 1480-nucleotide ribosomal RNA is filed under the name Limosilactobacillus reuteri. Its description in RNAcentral is "Lactobacillus reuteri partial 16S ribosomal RNA". It matches the Rfam family "Bacterial small subunit ribosomal RNA". The record is from RNAcentral. Lineage: Bacteria; Bacillati; Bacillota; Bacilli; Lactobacillales; Lactobacillaceae.
UAUCAUGCAAGUCGUACGCACUGGCCCAACUGAUUGAUGGUGCUUGCACCUGAUUGACGAUGGAUCACCAGUGAGUGGCGGACGGGUGAGUAACACGUAGGUAACCUGCCCCGGAGCGGGGGAUAACAUUUGGAAACAGAUGCUAAUACCGCAUAACAACAAAAGCCACAUGGCUUUUGUUUGAAAGAUGGCUUUGGCUAUCACUCCGGGAUGGACCUGCGGUGCAUUAGCUAGUUGGUAAGGUAACGGCUUACCAAGGCGAUGAUGCAUAGCCGAGUUGAGAGACUGAUCGGCCACAAUGGAACUGAGACACGGUCCAUACUCCUACGGGAGGCAGCAGUAGGGAAUCUUCCACAAUGGGCGCAAGCCUGAUGGAGCAACACCGCGUGAGUGAAGAAGGGUUUCGGCUCGUAAAGCUCUGUUGUUGGAGAAGAACGUGCGUGAGAGUAACUGUUCACGCAGUGACGGUAUCCAACCAGAAAGUCACGGCUAACUACGUGCCAGCAGCCGCGGUAAUACGUAGGUGGCAAGCGUUAUCCGGAUUUAUUGGGCGUAAAGCGAGCGCAGGCGGUUGCUUAGGUCUGAUGUGAAAGCCUUCGGCUUAACCGAAGAAGUGCAUCGGAAACCGGGCGACUUGAGUGCAGAAGAGGACAGUGGAACUCCAUGUGUAGCGGUGGAAUGCGUAGAUAUAUGGAAGAACACCAGUGGCGAAGGCGGCUGUCUGGUCUGCAACUGACGCUGAGGCUCGAAAGCAUGGGUAGCGAACAGGAUUAGAUACCCUGGUAGUCCAUGCCGUAAACGAUGAGUGCUAGGUGUUGGAGGGUUUCCGCCCUUCAGUGCCGGAGCUAACGCAUUAAGCACUCCGCCUGGGGAGUACGACCGCAAGGUUGAAACUCAAAGGAAUUGACGGGGGCCCGCACAAGCGGUGGAGCAUGUGGUUUAAUUCGAAGCUACGCGAAGAACCUUACCAGGUCUUGACAUCUUGCGCUAACCUUAGAGAUAAGGCGUUCCCUUCGGGGACGCAAUGACAGGUGGUGCAUGGUCGUCGUCAGCUCGUGUCGUGAGAUGUUGGGUUAAGUCCCGCAACGAGCGCAACCCUUGUUACUAGUUGCCAGCAUUAAGUUGGGCACUCUAGUGAGACUGCCGGUGACAAACCGGAGGAAGGUGGGGACGACGUCAGAUCAUCAUGCCCCUUAUGACCUGGGCUACACACGUGCUACAAUGGACGGUACAACGAGUCGCAAGCUCGCGAGAGUAAGCUAAUCUCUUAAAGCCGUUCUCAGUUCGGACUGUAGGCUGCAACUCGCCUACACGAAGUCGGAAUCGCUAGUAAUCGCGGAUCAGCAUGCCGCGGUGAAUACGUUCCCGGGCCUUGUACACACCGCCCGUCACACCAUGGGAGUUUGUAACGCCCAAAGUCGGUGGCCUAACCUUUAUGGAGGGAGCCGCCUAAGGCGGGACAGAUGACUGGGGUGAAGUC